AUGAACGCUAGCGGCAGGCUUAAUACAUGCAAGGCGAGGGGGCAGCAAUGUCACCGUCGUACGGGUGCGUAACGCGUAUGCAACCUACCUUCAACUGGGGGAUAGCCCGGGGAAACCCGGAUUAAUACCGCAUAACACAGGGGGCCCUCAUGGGUCUAUUUGUUAAAGAUUUAUUGGUUGAAGAUGGGCAUGCGUUCGAUUAGCUAGUUGGCAGGGUAACGGCCUACCAAGGCGACGAUCGAUAGGGGAGCUGAGAGGUUGAUCCCCCACACGGGCACUGAGAUACGGGCCCGACUCCUACGGGAGGCAGCAGUAGGGAAUAUUGGGCAAUGGAUGCAAGUCUGACCCAGCCAUGCCGCGUGCCGGAUGAAGGCCCUCAGGGUUGUAAACGGCUUUUAUUCGGGAAGAAGAGCAGGGAUGCGUCCUUGUGUGACGGUACCGAAUGAAUAAGCACCGGCUAACUCCGU
Molecule: ribosomal RNA, 467 nt
Filed under: uncultured bacterium
Lineage: Bacteria
Description: bacterial SSU rRNA
Rfam family: Bacterial small subunit ribosomal RNA
Source: RNAcentral